RNAcentral lists this ribosomal RNA (235 nucleotides) under uncultured bacterium. Its description in RNAcentral is "partial 16S ribosomal RNA". It matches the Rfam family "Bacterial small subunit ribosomal RNA", at positions 355 to 581 of the family's 1533-position model. The record is from RNAcentral.
UAGGGAAUCUUCCACAAUGGACGCAAGUCUGAUGGAGCAACGCCGCGUGAGUGAAGAAGGCUUUCGGGUCGUAAAACUCUGUUAUUGAAGAAGAACGUGUGUGACAGUAACUGGUCAUGCAGUGACGGUAUUCAAUCAGAAAGUCACGGCUAACUACGUGCCAGCAGCCGCGGUAAUACGUAGGUGGCAAGCGUUGUCCGGAUUUAUUGGGCGUAAAGCGAGUGUCAGGCGGUCU